CCUACGGGUGGCAGCAGUAGGGAAUAUUGCUCAAUGGGGGAAACCCUGAAGCAGCAACGCCGCGUGGAGGAUGAAGGUUUUCGGAUUGUAAACCUCUGUCAGCAGGGAAGAACGGUCACUGUGCUAAUCAGCAGUGAAUUGACGGUACCUGCAAAGGAAGCACCGGCUAACUCCGUGCCAGCAGCCGCGGUAAUACGGAGGGUGCGAGCGUUAAUCGGAAUUACUGGGCGUAAAGCGCUCGUAGGCGGUAUGUCAAGUCAAGGGUGAAAUCCCCGCGCUAAACGUGGGAACUGCCUUUGAAACUGGCAAACUGGAGUGUGUGAGAGGAUAGUGGAAUUCCAGGUGUAGGAGUGAAAUCCGUAGAUAUCUGGAGGAACAUCAGUGGCGAAGGCGACUAUCUGGCACAUAACUGACGCUGAGGAGCGAAAGCGUGGGUAGCAAACAGGAUUAGAUACCCUUGUAGUC
Molecule: ribosomal RNA, 465 nt
Filed under: uncultured bacterium
Lineage: Bacteria
Description: partial 16S ribosomal RNA
Rfam family: Bacterial small subunit ribosomal RNA
Source: RNAcentral